This is a non-coding RNA of Schistosoma curassoni, 48 nucleotides long. NCBI's taxonomy places the organism in Eukaryota, Metazoa, Platyhelminthes, Trematoda, Strigeidida, Schistosomatidae. The record is from Rfam.
AUCUAGCUGACGAGUCGCAAAUAAGAUGGAACGCGUGUCGAACUAGAU